GCAACUAAUUGUCUAGUGAAAAGAAAAAUUCCUACAGUCGCUUCUGCAUUGCCUGUAAACAGAAAAAAGAAUUUAUAUCUGCUGCAACACGCAGCUCUAAACUGAACUAUCCAAAGAACAAAUGUUGUGCCACUUUAAUACUUUUACAUGUUAAAUUAGAACAUUGACAUGGCCAAACUUCCUAAUACAAUUGGUGAUUAAAUAAUUGAAUGCACACCAAUUGCGUGGAACUGGAUUCUAACAUUAUCAUGGGUGCAAAUAACUACAUGAUGCCCCCUUCUUGCAGUACCCGUUUUCGUAAAAUUUACAUACUCGCUGCCCUUUACCCUGAGGCUUGAAAGAACCUCCUCCUCCAUUUCCGUAACCAUAUGUUGGCUGCCUGUUCCAUGAUGACCUAUCCCUACCAAAACCUGAAUCUCGACCUUGAAAAUAGUUAUUAAGGUUGUCUCUUGGACCAGAAUAUCUGUUGUCACCAUUUCUUAGUUGGUUUCCCCAACUGCCUACAUUACCUGUAGAAAUGGCUGGAUUUGAAUUAGUUUGUUGCUGAGCUGAUCCAUGACCAGUCCCCCAUGCCAUGUUCAUAUUUCCUUGAGGUGCUCCCCUAUCCAAGUUUGCAGUUCCUUUUACAGUUCCCCAGCUAGCAUCUGCUGUUGAAGAUUCAGGAUGCCGUGUGUCAGAACCAGCUUCCAAUUGGCUAACCGCUGAUGGAGUAGGACUCCGGGUGUCCGAACCUGCUUCACCUUGGUUAACGGUUGAAGAUGCCAGAGGUUCUAUUUCUGAACAUUGGUUAACUGAAACGUCACUGCGCUUUGCAUCUCCCUCUACUUCAGCACUUGAAGAGGAGUGCCCACUAAAGCUUUUUUGAGGAUCAAGAAAAUUAGUCUGCCAUAACCCAAGUGACUCC
RNAcentral lists this unclassified non-coding RNA (904 nucleotides) under Hevea brasiliensis (rubber tree). The record is from RNAcentral. Lineage: Eukaryota; Viridiplantae; Streptophyta; Magnoliopsida; Malpighiales; Euphorbiaceae.